UAGAGGAAGGAGAAGUUGUAACAAGGUUUCCGUAGGUGAACCUGCGGAAGGAUCAUUGUCGUUKCCUCGACCGACUGGGGAACCGAUAUCAGUUUGACCUGYUUCUGCCCCCGAUGUGCCUYGSGGKGCUGUCGGGUGGCAGACCUCUCUUAACACAGCAACUCCCGGGGCCCAGCGCUCCAAGGAAAUGUAGUCAAUUGGGAUGGAMGCCGUGGACGACCCCGAUGGGGCGCGCCCGCURUACGACCRRACCGGAYAUCACACGUACGUACGUACGACUCUCGACAACGGAUAUYUCGGCUCUUGCAUCGAUGAAGAACGUAGUGAAAUACGAUACUUGGUGUGAAUUGSRGAAUCCCGUGAACCAUCGAGUCUUUGAACGUAAGUUGCGCCMGAGGCCAUUGKGCCGAGGGCACGCCUGUCUGGGCAUCACGCCACCCAUCGCUUCCCCCCCCCCCUCCCACCUGGAGGGGGACGCGGAAACUGGCCCCCCAUCCCGGAAAAAAUCUCCGUGCUCGGUCGGCCCAUCUCCAGGAACCCUGCCCUGUUGGACGCAACAAAUGGUGGUUGGAGCAAAGCUCCAAACGCCACGCCUACCCAUACCGCAUUGCGUGAAACCAAAGGGGUACAAAUUGCAGGCCGCCGAUAAGCUUGACCGAAUCGGUUUUCAUCCUCCCAAACGACUACCCCCCUCGGUCAUGCGGGACCCCCC
This 712-nucleotide unclassified non-coding RNA is filed under the name Chimonanthus praecox. RNAcentral describes it as "partial contains small subunit ribosomal RNA, internal transcribed spacer 1, 5.8S ribosomal RNA, and internal transcribed spacer 2". Lineage: Eukaryota; Viridiplantae; Streptophyta; Magnoliopsida; Laurales; Calycanthaceae. The record is from RNAcentral.